Molecule: ribosomal RNA, 750 nt
Filed under: Terfezia eliocrocae
Lineage: Eukaryota; Fungi; Ascomycota; Pezizomycetes; Pezizales; Pezizaceae
Description: eukaryotic LSU rRNA
Rfam family: Eukaryotic large subunit ribosomal RNA
Source: RNAcentral
AUUGCCCUAGUAACGGCGAGUGAAGCGGCAAAAGCUCAGAUUUGAAAUCUGGUGUCAAUUUGGCAUCCGAGUUGUAGUCUGUAGAGGUGUAUUCGAGUGUGGAUUUGGCUUAAGUUCCUUGGAACAGGACGUCAUAGAGGGUGAGAACCCCGUUAACGGCCUUUGUCUUAUGCUCAUGUGAAUCUCCUUCAACGAGUCGAGUUGUUUGGGAAUGCAGCUCUAAAUGGGUGGUAAAUUCCAUCUAAAGCUAAAUACUGGCAAGAGACCGAUAGCGCACAAGUAGAGUGAUCGAAAGAUGAAAAGAACUCUGAACAGAGAGUCAAAUAGUACGUGAAAUUGUUGAAAGGGAAGCACUUGCGACCAGACACACUUGCAGCCGAUCAAUUCUCAUUCUUGAGGGUGCACUCGGUUGUCUGUGGGUCAGCAUCAGUUAUAGCGGUGGGAAAAAGACCUGAGGAAUGUAGCUCCUUUCGGGGAGUGUUAUAGACUUGGGUGCAAUGCUGCCUGCUGUGACUGAGGACCGCGCUUCGGUGAGGAUGCUGGCAUAAUGGUCGUAAGUGACCCGUCUUGAAACACGGACCAAGGAGUCUAACAUCUAUGCGAGUGUUUGGGUGUACAAACCCUUACGCGGAAUGAAAGUAAAUGGAGGUGGGAACCGCAAGGUGCACCAUCGACCGAUCCUGAUGUUUUCGGAUGGAUUUGAGUAGGAGCAUAGCUGUUGGGACCCGAAAGAUGGUGAACUAUGCCUGA